UUCCGGUUGAUCCUGCCGGAGGCUACUGCUAUUGGAAUUCGACUAAGCCAUGCGAGUCAAGGUGUCUUCGGACGCCGGCAAACGGCUCAGUAACACGUAGGUAAUCUACCCUCAGGACUGAGAUAACCCCGGGAAACUGGGGCUAAUACCAGAUAGAUAAAAGAUACUGGAAUGUUCUUUUAUCCAAAGCUUUUGUGCCUGAGGAUGAGCCUGCGCCCGAUUAGGUAGUUGGUGGGGUAAUGGCCCACCAAGCCUGCGAUCGGUACGGGCAGUGGGAGCUGUAGCCCGGAGUUGGGGACUGAGACAAGGCCCCAGGCCCUACGGGGCGCAGCAGGCGCGAAACCUCUGCAAUGCGGGAAACCGUGACAGGGGGAUUCCAAGUGCUCAUGCAUUGCAUGGGCUGUUCUUUGGUCUAAGUAACCAGAGGAGUAAGGGCUGGGCAAGACCGGUGCCAGCCGCCGCGGUAAUACCGGCAGCUCGAGUGGUAGCCGCGAUUAUUGGGCCUAAAACGUUCGUAGCCGGAUAAGUAAGUCUUUGGUUAAAUCCUACGACUUAACCGUGGGAAAUCUAGAGAUACUGCUUGUCUUGAGACCGGGAGAGGUUGGAGGUACUCCCAGGGUAGGGGUGAAAUCCUGUAAUCCUGGGGGGACCACCUGUGGCGAAGGCGUCCAACUGGAACGGCUCUGACGGUGAGGGACGAAACCUAGGGGAGCGAGCCGGAUUAGAUACCCGGGUAGUCCUAGGCGUAAAUGAUGCGAGUUAAGUGUGGGGGCAUCUACGAGAUGGCCCUGUGCUGUAGGGUAGCCGUUAAACUCGCUGCCUGGGGAGUACGGUCGCAAGGCUGAAACUUAAAGGAAUUGGCGGGGGAGCACCACAAGAGGUGGAGGCUGCGGUUCAAUUGGAUUCAACGCCGGA
This 915-nucleotide ribosomal RNA is filed under the name uncultured archaeon. RNAcentral describes it as "bacterial SSU rRNA". It matches the Rfam family "Archaeal small subunit ribosomal RNA", at positions 1 to 922 of the family's 1478-position model. The record is from RNAcentral.